RNAcentral lists this ribosomal RNA (488 nucleotides) under uncultured bacterium. Its description in RNAcentral is "partial 16S ribosomal RNA". It matches the Rfam family "Bacterial small subunit ribosomal RNA", at positions 30 to 523 of the family's 1533-position model. The record is from RNAcentral.
AUUGAACGCUGGCGGCAGGCCUAACACAUGCAAGUCGAGCGGGGUUUUCGGACCUAGCGGCGGACGGGUGAGUAAUGCGUAGGAAGCUGCCCGAUAGAGGGGGAUACCAGUUGGAAACGACUGUUAAUACCGCAUAAUGUCUACGGACCAAAGUGUGGGACCUUCGGGCCACAUGCUAUCGGAUGCGCCUACGUGGGAUUAGCUAGUUGGUGAGGUAAUGGCUCACCAAGGCGACGAUCUCUAGCUGGUUAGAGAGGAUGAUCAGCCACACUGGAACUGAGACACGGUCCAGACUCCUACGGGAGGCAGCAGUGGGGAAUAUUGGACAAUGGGCGCAAGCCUGAUCCAGCCAUGCCGCGUGUGUGAAGAAGGCCUUCGGGUUGUAAAGCACUUUCAGCGAGGAGGAAGGGUGGUGUGUUAAUAGCACAUCAUUUUGACGUUACUCGCAGAAGAAGCACCGGCUAACUCUGUGCCAGCCGCCGCAGUAA